Leptonychotes weddellii (Weddell seal) is the source of this 732-nucleotide non-coding RNA. Lineage: Eukaryota; Metazoa; Chordata; Mammalia; Carnivora; Phocidae. The record is from RefSeq and is a predicted model, not a curated record.
CCCAAGCCUCUGGCGGCGGCGGUGGCGAAGCCCGGUGCCAGAGCCGAGCCUUGAACUUCCUCUCGACGUUGGAACCCUCCCCGAGCCCCUGCGUCCAGGACCUCGGCCCCCGCUACAGCCGACGUGGGCGGCCGUGACCACCGCGGAGGGGGAGCGCCUCGAACUCCGUCGGGUGCCCGCGGGCUCCAAGAGGUGCCCUUAGGCUCCAGGACCCAGAACCGCGCGGGUCGUUUGGUCUUCGCCUCUCUGGGGUUUCCAGCGCUAAAGCUCCCGGAGCCCUGCUGCCGCCCUGCAGACGGACUUAGCGCUGGACGGCCCCUCCCGGAUCUCGAACUGGACCCUCCUGGGCUGAACUUCAGGCGGCCCCCUAAGGCCUAGCGCGGUCGCUGACCUGGCACUGCGCGGGGCGAACCGGCAGGUGCGACCGAUCUCCCCUAAGUGAGCGCCUAACUCCAGGGCUCCAAGCCCCCGGUACAUUUUUAUUUUUAAGUAUGAAGUACACAUAAAAGGUGCACGGUGCAGAGCUGGAUGAAUGUUCGCGAAUUGCAUAUACCUGUGUAAGCGGCAGCCAAACCAAGAAACAGACCAGGACCAGCACCUUCGAUGCCCAGCUCAGCUCCUUCCAGCCCACUACCCACAUCCACCCACCCACAACCACUAUCCUGAUUUCUCACACAAGGAUUGGGUUUGCCUGUUUUUAUACUUUAUAUAAAUGUGAUCACCGAGAAUGUG